Molecule: ribosomal RNA, 356 nt
Filed under: Otosaurus cumingii
Lineage: Eukaryota; Metazoa; Chordata; Lepidosauria; Squamata; Scincidae
Description: Otosaurus cumingi partial 12S ribosomal RNA
Rfam family: Bacterial small subunit ribosomal RNA
Source: RNAcentral
GCCUAGCCCUAAACAUAGGUAGUACAGACACAAUACUACCCGCCAGAGAACUACAAGCGAAAAGCUUAAAACUCCAAGGACUUGGCGGUGCUUCAAACCAACCUAGAGGAGCCUGUCCUAUAAUCGAUACUCCACGAUUCACCUUACCCCCCCUAGCCAACCAGCCUAUAUACCGCCGUCGUCAGCCUACCUUAUGAAAGAAAAAAAGUGAGCAAAAAAGUCAGCAACUAGCACGUCAGGUCAAGGUGUAGCAUAUGGGGCGGCAGAGAUGGGCUACAUUUUUCCAAAGCAAAAACCACGAACAUUGUACUGAAACACACAAUUAAAGGAGGAUUUAGUCGUAAGACGAACAAGAA